Molecule: ribosomal RNA, 504 nt
Filed under: uncultured bacterium
Lineage: Bacteria
Description: partial 16S ribosomal RNA
Rfam family: Bacterial small subunit ribosomal RNA
Source: RNAcentral
AUUGAACGCUAGCGGCAUGCUUAACACAUGCAAGUCGAACGGCAGCGCGGGUAGCUUGCUACCUGGCGGCGAGUGGCGGACGGGUGAGUAAUGCGUAGGAAUCUACCUUAUAGUGGGGGAUAACUCGAGGAAACUCGAGCUAAUACCGCAUAAUCUCUCAGGAGCAAAGCGGGGGACCUUCGGGCCUCGUGCUGUAAGAUGAGCCUACGUCGGAUUAGCUAGUUGGUGGGGUAAUAGCCUACCAAGGCGACGAUCCGUAGCUGGUCUGAGAGGACGAUCAGCCACACUGGGACUGAGACACGGCCCAGACUCCUACGGGAGGCAGCAGUGGGGAAUAUUGGACAAUGGGGGAAACCCUGAUCCAGCAAUGCCGCGUGUGUGAAGAAGGCCUUCGGGUUGUAAAGCACUUUCAGUGGGGAAGAAAGAACCAAAAUUAAUACUUUUGGGUGUUGACGUUACCUACAGAAGAAGCACUGGCUAACUCUGUGCCAGCCGCCGCGGUAA